Molecule: ribosomal RNA, 487 nt
Filed under: uncultured bacterium
Lineage: Bacteria
Description: bacterial SSU rRNA
Rfam family: Bacterial small subunit ribosomal RNA
Source: RNAcentral
GAUCAUGGCUACGAGGACGAACGCUGGCGGCGUGCUUAACACACGCAAGUCGAACGGGGCGAAGUGAUAGCUUGCUAUUAUGGAGCCUAGUGGCAAACGGGUGAGUAACGCGUAGGCAACCUGCCCUUUAGAUGGGGACAACACCUCGAAAGGGGUGCUAAUACCGCAUGACGUACGGUUUAGACAUCUUUACCGUACCAAAGGAUUUAUUCGCUGAAGGAUGGGCUCGCGUCCGAUUAGAUAGUUGGUGAGGUAACGGCUCACCAAGUCGACGAUCGGUAGCCGGACUGAGAGGUUGAUCGGCCACAUUGGGACUGAGACACGGCCCAGACUCCUACGGGAGGCAGCAGUGGGGAAUAUUGGGCAAUGGGCGAAAGCCUGACCCAGCAACGCCGCGUGAGGGAAGAAGGGUUUCGGCUCGUAAACCUCUGUCCUAUGGGACGAAGAAGUGACGGUACCAUAGGAGGAAGCCCCGGCUAACUACGUG